Molecule: ribosomal RNA, 426 nt
Filed under: uncultured bacterium
Lineage: Bacteria
Description: bacterial SSU rRNA
Rfam family: Bacterial small subunit ribosomal RNA
Source: RNAcentral
UGGGGAAUCUUGCGCAAUGGGCGAAAGCCUGACGCAGCGACGCCGCGUGAGUGAUGAAGGCCUUCGGGUUGUAAAGCUCUGUGGGGAGAGAAGAAUAAGUCGUGGCUAACAUCCACGAUGAUGACGGUAUCUCCUUAGCAAGCACCGGCUAACUCUGUGCCAGCAGCCGCGGUAAGACAGAGGGUGCAAACGUUGUUCGGAAUUACUGGGCGUAAAGCGUGUGUAGGCGGUGAGGUAAGUCAGGUGUGAAAGCCCGGAGCUCAACUUCGGAAGUGCACUUGAUACUGCUUCGCUUGAGUACUGGAGAGGUUGGUGGAAUUCUCGGUGUAGAGGUGAAAUUCGUAGAUAUCGAGAGGAACAUCGGUGGCGAAGGCGGCCAACUGGACAGAUACUGACGCUGAGACACGAAAGCGCGGGGAGCAAACA